GACGAACGCUGGCGGCGUGCUUAACACAUGCAAGUCGAACGGAAAGGCCCUGCUUUUGUGGGGUGCUCGAGUGGCGAACGGGGGAGUAACACGUGAGUAACCUGCCCUUGACUUUGGGAUAACUUCAGGAAACUGGGGCUAAUACCGGAUAGGAGCUCCUGCUGCAUGGUGGGGGUUGGAAAGUUUCGGCGGUUGGGGAUGGACUCGCGGCUUAUCAGCUUGUUGGUGGGGUAGUGGCUUACCAAGGCUUUGACGGGUAGCCGGCCUGAGAGGGUGACCGGCCACAUUGGGACUGAGAUACGGCCCAGACUCCUACGGGAGGCAGCAGUGGGGAAUAUUGCACAAUGGGCGGAAGCCUGAUGCAGCAACGCCGCGUGCGGGAUGACGGCCUUCGGGUUGUAAACCGCUUUCGCCUGUGACGAAGCGUGAGUGACGGUAAUGGGGAAAGAAGCACCGGCUAACUACGU
Molecule: ribosomal RNA, 467 nt
Filed under: uncultured bacterium
Lineage: Bacteria
Description: partial 16S ribosomal RNA
Rfam family: Bacterial small subunit ribosomal RNA
Source: RNAcentral